GGGAAUGUGGCUCAAUGGUAGAGCAUAUGCCUAGCAUGCAUAAGACCAUGGAUUCAAUCUCCACCCCA
Molecule: transfer RNA, 68 nt
Filed under: Fukomys damarensis (Damara mole-rat)
Lineage: Eukaryota; Metazoa; Chordata; Mammalia; Rodentia; Bathyergidae
Rfam family: tRNA
About the family: Transfer RNA (tRNA) molecules are approximately 80 nucleotides in length. Their secondary structure includes four short double-helical elements and three loops (D, anti-codon, and T loops).
Source: Rfam by way of RNAcentral